This 492-nucleotide ribosomal RNA is filed under the name uncultured bacterium. Its description in RNAcentral is "partial 16S ribosomal RNA". It matches the Rfam family "Bacterial small subunit ribosomal RNA", at positions 29 to 507 of the family's 1533-position model. The record is from RNAcentral.
AGUGAACGCUGGCGGUAGGCCUAACACAUGCAAGUCGAACGGCAGCACAGUAAGAGCUUGCUCUUACGGGUGGCGAGUGGAGGACGGGUGAGGAAUACAUCGGAAUCUACUUUUUCGUGGGGGAUAACGUAGGGAAACUUACGCUAAUACCGCAUACGACCUACGGGUGAAAGCAGGGGAUCUUCGGACCUUGCGCGAUUGAAUGAGCCGAUGUCGGAUUGGCUAGUUGGCGGGGUAAAGGCCCACCAAGGCGACGCUCCGUAGCUGGUCUGAGAGGAUGAUCAGCGACACUGGAACUGAGACACGGUCCGGACUCCUAGAUGGGGCAGAAGAGGGGGUUAUUGGACGAUGGGCGCAAGCCUGAUCCAGCCGUACCGCGUGGGUGAAGAAGGCCUUCGGGUUGUAAGGCCCUUUUGUUGGGAAAGAAAAGCAGCGGGUUAAUACCCCGCCGUUCUGACGGUACCCAAAGAAUAAGCACCGGCUAACUUCGUG